CCUACGGGAGGCUGCAGUGGGGAAUAUUGCACAAUGGGGGAAACCCUGAUGCAGCGACGCCGCGUGAGUGAAGAAGUAUUUCGGUAUGUAAAGCUCUAUCAGCAGGGAAGAAAAUGACGGUACCUGACUAAGAAGCACCGGCUAAAUACGUGCCAGCAGCCGCGGUAAUACGUAUGGUGCAAGCGUUAUCCGGAUUUACUGGGUGUAAAGGGAGCGUAGACGGAUAGGCAAGUCUGGAGUGAAAACCCGGGGCUCAACCCCGGGACUGCUUUGGAAACUGUUUAUCUAGAGUGCUGGAGAGGUAAGUGGAAUUCCUAGUGUAGCGGUGAAAUGCGUAGAUAUUAGGAGGAACACCAGUGGCGAAGGCGGCUUACUGGACAGUAACUGACGUUGAGGCUCGAAAGCGUGGGGAGCAAACAGGAUUAGAUACCCGGGUAGUC
This 440-nucleotide ribosomal RNA is filed under the name uncultured bacterium. RNAcentral's name for it is "bacterial SSU rRNA". It matches the Rfam family "Bacterial small subunit ribosomal RNA", at positions 338 to 795 of the family's 1533-position model. The record is from RNAcentral.